CACGUAGGCGGCAUGGUAAGUCAAAGGUGAAAGCCCUCGGCUCAACCGGGGAAUUGCCUUUGAAACUGCUUUGCUUGAGUCCGGGAGGGGGGAGCGGAAUUCCCAGAGUAGCGGUGAAAUGCGUAGAUACUGGGAGGAACACCGGUGGCGAAGGCGGCUCCCUGGACCGGUACUGACGCUGAGGUGCGAAAGCGUGGGUAGCAAACA
This 207-nucleotide ribosomal RNA is filed under the name uncultured bacterium. RNAcentral describes it as "partial 16S ribosomal RNA". It matches the Rfam family "Bacterial small subunit ribosomal RNA", at positions 568 to 774 of the family's 1533-position model. The record is from RNAcentral.